RNAcentral lists this signal recognition particle RNA (299 nucleotides) under Cercocebus atys (sooty mangabey). Its description in RNAcentral is "Metazoan signal recognition particle RNA (ENSCATG00000007779.1)". It matches the Rfam family "Metazoan signal recognition particle RNA". From Rfam's summary of the family: The signal recognition particle (SRP) is a universally conserved ribonucleoprotein. It is involved in the co-translational targeting of proteins to membranes. Lineage: Eukaryota; Metazoa; Chordata; Mammalia; Primates; Cercopithecidae. The record is from RNAcentral.
GCCAGAUGCGGUGGUGCAUGCCUAUAGUCCCAGCUAUCCAGGAGGCUGAGGUGGGAGCACUGCUUAGCCCAGGAGUUCUUGGCUGUAAUAUGCAUGCCAGUCAGGUGUCUGCACUAUGUUUGGCAUCAGUAUAGUGACCUCCUGGGAGCGUGGGACCACCAGGUUGCCUAAGGAGGGGUGAACUAUCCCAGGCUGGAAAUGAAGCAGGUAAAAACUCCUGUGCUAGUUAGCAGUGGGAUUGUGCCUGUGAACAUAGUCACUGCACUCCAACCUGGGCAACACAGUGAGACCCCGUCUCU